AUGAAUAAAACAAAAACAAAUCUCGUUUACAAAAAAAAAAAAAAACCAAAUCUUAUGAAACAAAUGCAUUCAAAAUACCAAACUACCUUUAUUUUUGGAAACAUAUUUAAACCCAAAACAACAAUUAAUACUAAAAACAAGAAAGUAAGAUAUUUUUUUCAAAUGGGAAAAUACGGACAUGGGUUUGACUAAUUUUACUAGCGGUUUCUUUCUUCUCCGGCCAUAGUUAGAUCGAUUAGUCUGGAACGGUCAAGAUUAUUACACGCUUUUUACUGUUUUCAGGAAAGUUUUUAUGUUCGAUGCACCAAUGAUAUACUGACAACUGGAAAGGUAUUACUGACUGGUCGGCUCUUUCUUAUGCUUUUGUUCUGCCAUUCUGUGGACCGACUCGUGCAACUUCU
RNAcentral lists this long non-coding RNA (401 nucleotides) under Capsella rubella. Its description in RNAcentral is "long non-coding RNA (CRUB_LNC004533)". Lineage: Eukaryota; Viridiplantae; Streptophyta; Magnoliopsida; Brassicales; Brassicaceae. The record is from RNAcentral.